RNAcentral lists this ribosomal RNA (440 nucleotides) under uncultured bacterium. Its description in RNAcentral is "partial 16S ribosomal RNA". It matches the Rfam family "Bacterial small subunit ribosomal RNA", at positions 338 to 795 of the family's 1533-position model. The record is from RNAcentral.
CCUACGGGUGGCAGCAGUGGGGGAUAUUGCACAAUGGGGGGAACCCUGAUGCAGCGACGCCGCGUGUGGGAAGACGGUCCUCUGGAUUGUAACCCACUAUCCCCAGGGACGAAAAUGACGGUACCUGGGGAGGAAGCUCCGGCUAACUACGUGCCAGCAGCCACGGUAAUACGUAGGGAGCGAGCGUUGUCGGGAAUUACUGGGUGUACAGGGAGCGUAGGCGGGGAUGCAAGUUGGUGGUAAAAACUACCGGCUAAACUGGUUGGCGCACUCAAAACUGGAGCUCUUGAGUGCAGUAGAGGCAGGCGGAAUUCCUAGUGUAGCGGUGAAAUGCGUAGAUAUUAGGAGGAACACCAGUGGCGAAGGCGGCCUGCUGGGCUUUUACUGACGCUGAGGCUCGAAAGUGUGGGGAGCAAACAGGAUUAGAUACCCGAGUAGUC